Long non-coding RNA from Centrocercus urophasianus (Greater sage-grouse), 3550 nucleotides. RefSeq lists it as uncharacterized. The record is from RefSeq and is a predicted model, not a curated record. The transcript is spliced from 2 exons. Lineage: Eukaryota; Metazoa; Chordata; Aves; Galliformes; Phasianidae.
CAGGCGGGGCGGCGCUGCCGUCCCCGCACCCGUUAAAAGGCGCAGCGCCCAUAGCGCCGUCCUUUUUGGUCUUUGUAAGGAUGAGGUGCGGUGUCGUGUGCGAUCCCCCACGCUGUGCCUCCCCAUGACUACAGCCGUGGUUGGUGAAGACGCGUGUUGUCUCCAUGAGACCGCUUUGGGCAUCCUGCCGUACUGCCCCUUGCGUGGAAUUUGGGAAACGGCAAUCCGCAGCCUGCGCGGAACAAAGUACUGGAGCCCGCAGGGAAUUCUUGAGCAAAAGAUGCGCCGCGCUCAAAUUCAAAAUCUGUGAAGUGUCAAAUCUGCUCACAGGGUGCUGCUCCAGACGGGGACUGGCGGAUUUUCCCAAGCGCCUGCCCAAACGCGGCAGGAAGGAGUCGCGUCCCUUCCCGACCUGUCCGCUCACAUCAGGAAAAAGCAUUACGAACUGUAACGCCUGUUACCAGCGCUCCGAGGAUGGCUUCGCUUGUAAUGGAUAAGCCAGGAAAGCUGUUCAGAUAAACUGCAGCAGGCUUAUGAUCUCAGGAGAGCUUUAAUUUUAAGUGUCUUGUUAAAGCCUGUUUUGUUUUGUUUUGUUUUGUUUGCCAGAAGUGUUUCCUUAGCUUCAGCAAAAUAUUUUCCAGCGCUUCAAUCCCUAUUUUCUAGUGCAACUAAAUGGCAGGGAUCCAAGUUGCAAAACCAGUGAUAUCUGCAUCAUUUUGCUUACUGAAGACAGGCUGAAAUCCAGCCGGGGUUAUUCUGUCUGCUGUGGGGCUAAACUACUGCAAGGAGAACGGGCUAAACGAAACAUGAUAGGUAGACAGAUAGCUGCGCCGAGAAACAGCAGACCUUUCAAAAAGAGGUAGAAAGUGACUGAUGCUGCUGCGAAGGCACACCACAGCAGCCGGAUGAGCCUUACAAAGCAGCUCAGAAGAGCUGUGAGCGAACAAGCAUGAAUGUCAGUCCUGCCGCCCCUGAAUGGCCAUUGGUCACAGGAAUGCUGAAAGGAAAUAUGAGACAUGCACUCAGCGUGGUGAGGGACUUUACCAAAUAGAGCCAGCUGUCUGGAGAACAUCACUAGCAGAAGCUGGCAUGCACUGAUUUCUUGCUUGUGGAAGUAGACGUCUGGAAUUAAGUUUGUUAUGAAAUGUGGUUCAGCUGGGAAAGAUGUUGAAAUGAGGCAUCCUGUAUAUUGCUGUAUACUAUAAGAAGCCAGGAGAAAGGAGGCGUUGGCUCAAGAUGUAGCAUAAGGUCUGUGGAAUGGCUCUGCAGAAACUGAGUUCUGCAAAACUUGGAUGUUUUUGGGAAAGAGACAAAUAGAACAGAUGGGAGGAAGAAUAAUCCCUUCUAUCUCUAUUUUCCACUUCUCAUUGGAAAAUUGUAUCAUUGCAAGAUUAAGUAAAAACUGAAAUUAGCUAAUGAGAAACUGAAGAUUCUCUAUAUGAGACUCCCUAAGAUUUUGGCUGUGCGAAGAGUCUUGGGAAGGAAUAUUUUAACUAUUAUUUGGAAUAGGUAGUCAUGAAAAGGAAUUUUUGCACUUUUAUUCACAUUGACUGCCAAGAUGAAGGAGCUGAUUCCACCAACUUCUUAAGUUCUCUUCUGAGGAAUGCUUAUGGCAGCACUUGUUACUCCACCUGACAACAUCUAUUAGGCAGCAGAAUGUAUUUCUUCUGGUCUGCACCAAAUCUUUGGCGUUACAGCACUAUAGUAAGACAGUUAUGUUCUAUGGGCCCCAUAAGAUCAUUAGAUGACCCAGAGAGCAAUCUGUACUUGUACACAACUAUCCUAUCCUCUGAAUGUGCCAGACAGAAUAAUCAAGUAUGAAAAAAUGAUUAGCUUCUGGUGGACCUAGAUGUUAGAACUGGUAUGUAUAUAUAACAUGUAGUGUUGGAAAGCGGGUUUUUAAGACCCUGUAAAAGGGAGAAGAAAUAAUGGACCUGAUUUAAGAGCCAGAGGGGUAUGUGCUGGGAUAGGAAAUUCUUGGCUGUGAGAGUAGGGGGGGAUUAGAUCUGUGGUCAAAAGUCUCAGUAGAAAGGAGUUCAUUACUACCAUCUCACAAGAAAAGAAUAGCAAAAAGCUUUAUGAAACCUCAAAGAACUGAUGUUCUACCAAGGUCAGACAGCCUCUGCCACCAUCCAAAACUGAGCCAGAAACCAAAUAACCCAGAUGUAUUUGCAGAUGUGCAAGUAAUUAUUCUAGGGCAACCAUGUUGAUCACAGUUAGCUUUUGGGUAUAAAACUGAAAAAAUAUUAUUAUCUGAUGAUGUGAUUCGUGGAGCCUGAUUUUCUGUGAAAGGAUCUGAUCAGAUAGUAUUUAAUCUUAAGAGGUAUUUAAAAUUGAUUUAUCACAAACAAAUUGAUUUGAUUCUGCAAGAUGCUCUGGGCUGUGCUUACAUCUAAGAUACAGGUCACCGUGUGAGAUGGCAUUUUGAAACUUUAUUAGCAUUUAAAUAAAAAGUGGAGGUAAUAUCAGUGAUACUAUAUUGCUGAGCAUCAUGCUCACCAACACAAGAGUGUCUUAGUUUUCAUAAGUUUGUUUUUAAACCAAAAUGCCUCAAGGCUUGCAUGCAUCAUCACAACCUCUGUAGUGGAGAUGGCUAUCUACUAGGUGGGUAUUACGACUGAAAUGGGUAUUAAGAGAGAAAAAGGUUUCUAAGUGCUGAGCUCAGAGAUGAUGAGUGUAAGACGCUCCAAUUUCACUCCUUGCUCAGAUAUGAGGAUGCUGAAGAUGAGAGCUUUAUAUCUGCAAUACCCUGGUAAAACAACUCAUUCAAUUGGAUGUAUAAAUAUUUAUUUGUAUGUGUCUUGUGUGCUCUUCAGUGAAAAAUACAGCUACAAAAAUGUCACAAACAAGCAUACUGAUAGCAAGUGCAUUCCUGUUUCACUAGUUUUUGCCAGACUUCUAUGAUGGUCAGUGCAUCAAUGGACAAUGGAAGAGCCACUGAUGUCACCUGUCAAAAGUUCAGUAAGGCCUUUGACACUAUCCUGCAUAACAUCCUUCUCUCUAAAUUGGAAAUACAGGUAUUUGGUGGGUGGACUGUUCAGUGGAUGAGGAACCGGUUGCAAAUUCUUAUCAGUAGUGGUCAGUGGAGAUCAGUGACAAAUGGUGUCCAUCAGGGGUCUGUACUGAGACUGAUUCUCUUUAAUCUUUUGAGUUGGAAGGGACUCUUAAAGAUCACCUAGUCCAACUCCCCUGCAAUGAAAAGUGACAUCUGCAGCUAGGUCAGAGUGCUCACAGCCUGCUCCAGCCUGACCUUGACUGUCUCCAAUGACAGAGCAUCCACCACAUCUCUGGGCAACCACUUCCACUGCCUUUUUUACAAUAAAGCAUUGGAACAGGUUGGCCAGAGAGGUGGUGGAUGCCCUGCCCCAUCCCUGCAUACACUCAAGGUCAUGCUGGGCUGAGCUCUGAGCAACUUGAUGCAGCAAUAGAAAUCCUUGUCCGUUGCUGGGGAGUUGGACUAGAUGACCUUUAAAGGUCCCUUCCAACUCAAACAACUCUGUGAUUCUAUAACUGGGAGAAAACAGUGUCAAAUAAAAGCUAAGAAAACAUU